Molecule: long non-coding RNA, 409 nt
Organism: Peromyscus leucopus (white-footed mouse)
Lineage: Eukaryota; Metazoa; Chordata; Mammalia; Rodentia; Cricetidae
Exons: 3
Source: RefSeq, a predicted model, not a curated record
GUAAAGCAAAAAAUGCUUCAGAACUGAACUGAAAUAACACAGAGACAUUAUUUUUUCCCAGACUCUCCUCUGAACCACAACCAAUAGAGGGAAGGUAGGAGGGACAUAGAGAAGGCAGGCUCGCUUUAUUAGAGGUAACACUCCUUUACUUCUUUAUUUGCAGACAUCCCAUCUUAGCAGCACUGGGUGAACUAGAAGCAAACCACAGAGACACCGCACCAAGGAUAAACAUCAAUGUGGAGCAUCAAAAACUUUUAACUGGGAAACUAAAAUAAUCAGGUGAUAGAAGGACAGGAUGAAGGUUUUGAUACUACGAGGACUCAUUUUGGCAUUUGCUGUUUGCUUCCAGGUAAGCUCCCAGACUCUGGAAAAACCACAAGAACUGCCCAAAAAUAAAGGCUAUGUAAAG